UACGUAGGGUGCGAGCGUUGUCCGGAAUCAUUGGGCGUAAAGAGCGUGUAGGCGGCCCGGUAAGUCCGCUGUGAAAGUCCAGGGCUCAACCCUGGGAUGCCGGUAGAUACUGUCGGGCUCGAGUCCGGAAGAGGAGUGUGGAAUUCCUGGUGUAGCGGUGAAAUGCGCAGAUAUCAGGAGGAACACCAAUGGCGAAGGCAGCACUCUGGGACGUGACUGACGCUGAGACGCGAAAGCGUGGGGAGCAAACAGG
This 253-nucleotide ribosomal RNA is filed under the name uncultured bacterium. RNAcentral's name for it is "partial 16S ribosomal RNA". It matches the Rfam family "Bacterial small subunit ribosomal RNA", at positions 524 to 776 of the family's 1533-position model. The record is from RNAcentral.